AUGGGGGUCAUGUUCUCCUGCCCCGCGGAUGACUAUGACCCGAUGGAGGAAGGCGCCCUCGCGCCGGCGGACGGCGGGGAGCCGACGGUCCUCAGGGCCUUGGGCUCCGGGAAGCUGCUCAUACAGGGGUCGCUCAGCUUCAAGAGGGAGCAGCAGCUGGACGACAGCCCGGGCUCUCUCCAGCUGGAGACCGAGAUCUCCAUCAGGACAGCCGGCGACAUUGCCGGCGCCGAGGACGAGGCCGAGGCGCCGCCGCCGCUUGCGCCGCGGGAGCUCGCCAGGCUGAGGGCGGGGGCGGAGAGCCCGAGGCACGAUGCUGCGGCGCUCAGGCUGCAGAAGGUGUACAAGAGCUUCCGCACGCGGCGGCAGCUCGCCGACUGCGCCGUGCUGGUGGAGCAGAGCUGGUGGAAGCUGCUGGACUUCGCGCUCCUCAACCGCAGCUCCGUCUCCUUCUUCGACAUCGAGAAGCAGGAGACGGCCGUGUCCAAAUGGUCCAGGGCCAGAUCCCGAGCUGCCAAGGUUGGAAAGGGACUGUCCAAGGAUGACAAGGCGCAGAAACUCGCAUUGCAGCAUUGGCUCGAAGCGAUUGACCCGCGCCACCGCUACGGCCACAACCUGCACUACUACUAUGAUUGCUGGCUCCACAGCGAAAGCAAGCAGCCUUUCUUCUACUGGCUUGAUGUUGGAGAAGGCAAAGAGAUCAAUCUUGAAGGCAAGUGCUCCCGGUCCAAGCUUCUGAGCCAGUGCAUCAAGUACCUCGGCCCGAAGGAAAGAGAGGACUAUGAGGUUGUAAUUGAGGACAGCAAGUUCUUGUACAAGAAGAGCCGGCAAAUAAUCGACACGUCCUUCGGUCCGAGAGAUGCAAAGUGGAUCUUUGUUCUUAGCACAGCUAAGACCUUGUAUGUUGGUCAGAAGAAGAAAGGUAAAUUUCAGCAUUCUAGCUUUCUUGCUGGGGGAGCUACUUCGGCUGCUGGGAGACUGGUUGCUGAAAAUGGAACCCUCAAGGCUAUUUGGCCUCACAGUGGUCACUACCGCCCUACAGAGGAGAACUUCCAGGAGUUCAAAAGCUUCCUCAAUGACAACUUGGUUGAUCUCACUGACGUGAAGAUGAGCCCAGCAGAGGAGGACGAGGAAUUCUGGGGCAGCCUCAAGAGGAUCGCUUCGGAGAACGACAAAUCUGAAGAUGGCCCUGCUGCACCUGAAGAAACCGGCUCUCUUCAGACAGCUCAGGUCGUUCAAACGACAUCUACAGAGACAGAAAAACGCGAGGAACCGGUGGUGGCGCGCGAGAAGAUCCUUCAGAGGAUCAACUCCAAGAAGGACAUGAAAUCGUACCAGCUCGGCAAGCAGUUGUCCUUCAAGUGGACGACCGGGGCAGGCCCUCGGAUCGGGUGCGUGCGCGACUACCCUUCGGAGCUCCAGGCGCACGCGCUGGAGCAGAUGAACCUGUCGCCGCGGUGCGCCGCCGGGCCUGCGUGCACCCGGUUCGCCUCGCCGCUGAGGCGAAGCUUCAACAGCAUCGUGACUGUGACAAGGGGGUGUGAGAAUGAGACGUCCACGCCGAGGGGAGCGUUUCGGUCGCCUCUGCAGCAUGGACUGGUUGCAGAUGAGAGGUGA
Molecule: ribosomal RNA, 1617 nt
Filed under: Triticum aestivum (bread wheat)
Lineage: Eukaryota; Viridiplantae; Streptophyta; Magnoliopsida; Poales; Poaceae
Description: partial small subunit ribosomal RNA
Source: RNAcentral